Triticum dicoccoides is the source of this 2013-nucleotide long non-coding RNA. RefSeq lists it as uncharacterized. The transcript is spliced from 2 exons. The record is from RefSeq and is a predicted model, not a curated record. Lineage: Eukaryota; Viridiplantae; Streptophyta; Magnoliopsida; Poales; Poaceae.
GUCGGUUCGUCUCUGGCCACGACUGAAAAAAGGUGGAACCGCGUCCACCCGCACCGACUCCUUCCCGGAAACCCAUCGCUGCCACCGGCUCCACGGCCUCUAUAAAAUACCACCGGAGCCUCCCAUGGUUUCCUCGUAUCGGAGGAUUUGAUUGACGUCUCUUCUCUUCUCUUCCCCCUCUCGUCGGGUAAGUCGCAGGUAUGGCCAUGGGGUAAUCGGUUCAGAUCUCGCGCUCCUUGUUUCGCUGUUCGUCGUUUGAUUGUAAUUCCAGGCGAGCGUUUCUGUCUGGGUUGUGGUGCUCCUUACGUUGAUUUCGAUCGAGGCGUAGUUCCGGUGAUUUGUCCUCCUCCGUUCCGGUGAUGUUGGUAUCGUCUUCUGAACCUCGCUGCUUUGGUUUAGGUCGCAGCUAAUCUAUUUUGCUUUGACUUCUGAUCUGAUUUAGGGUCGUGGCUAAUCCAUCAUGCUGAUUGCGAUAUGAUUUAGGGUCGUGGCUUAUCCAUUUUUAUCCUAAUUGCUGAUUUGAUUCAAGGCUGUCACGAUUAAUGGAGAUUAUUUUUGGCGAGAGCAACCAGUUGUGUUAGUUUAAUGGAGAUUAUUUAAACGUGGAGCAGUUUAUUUGCUUUCAUCUCUGUUCGUUACGGUGGAUUGGUCUUGGUCGGUUUAGUUGAUUCCUUGGAGAUGUUUGACAUGAUCGGAAUAAGAGAUUGAAGGUUGAGUGGUUUGGAUUGGUCUGUUCCAUUGGUGAUUCAAUAAUGUUCUGCGUACAGUGCUUUAUCUUUUUGCGGUGAAAAACAGUGAUUUGGGAGACAGUCCAGACAGUCAAAUUUCUGCAGUUUUUCUGCAUUUGAUCCCGUUCUUUCAUGACUUAGUCAGAUUCAAUAAGAGUUAGUGGAAAAAGGUUUGCUAUGCCUAUCCGGAUAUAUUUGCUUUCGCCUAGCAGCCUAUGCAUGUCAGACCAUAUCAAAGGGAUUUUGCUAUGUUGUGUGCUGUGUUAUAAAUGUAGAGCUGGGAUAUGUACUUCUUGAACUGUGUGGACAUGCUCAUGGUGGAGAUUCUUCAGUGGCUAUAUUUAGGUCACACCUUUUGAUUGGUUUCAUUUCAAGAUCCCUAAGAAUAUCGGAGGUGCUUGUUUUGUUUGCGUUCUAGAUGUAACUUUCUUGGGAAGUACCCUCAAAGAACAUGGAAGUUUGCUUUUGAAGUAAUCUGUUUGAAGUUUCAAGUACAUUGAAGAAAGCUGCUGAACUAGUUUACUGCCUGCCAUGUUUUGAUUGGGUGACACAUCAAGGUCUAUUCAGAUGCUGAUUACUGUGUUGGAAUCUACCAAUCCUUCUGAUCUCUAGUUUGUGACUUUGAUUUUCUACAUGGAUAUUCAGUUGGGCUUCUGCCGGUUUACAUGCUCUGUCCAGUGUUGGAUUAGUCUUAGGCCUCCUUUGAUUUGAAGGAUUUUUCAUAGAAAAAACGUAGGAAUUUUCAUUCCAUAAGAUUUGCCACUGUAGCGAUGUUUGAUUUGCAAGAACCAGUAUGAAGGAAUACUGUUGCAAUCCAGAGAAACACUGUUGGUUCCCUGUGAUUUCGCAUGGAGUGAAACAUUGAGUCAUACCUCUUUUUUACACAAAGACCAAGGCAAGAGGGACAAAGUUGCAUACCAGCGCAUGGUUUCUCUACUAAAUAAUGCAUUCCUUUGAUUUCAGUUCCCGCAUUUCAAACGUUCCAUUUGUUUCAUAUUCCUAUAUUUUUCACUUUUUUUCAAUCCUCUGUUUUACAAUUGCAACCCUAUAGAUUUUCGGUAUUCUUUCUAUUCCAGCGUUUUUGCAAUCAUGUGAAUCAAAGAGGCCCUUAGCUUAUUAUUAGCAUUCUUACUGUAAUUUGUAGUCAUGUUUUGUUCAUGCAAUUUAUGUUUUAUGCUGUACACAAUUGUCAAUUAUGCAUCCUGUAUGAUGUUAUUGGUGUAAUUAUUGAAUGAUUAUGGAUGAGCCCUUCAUCGUUGUUUGGUUGGGUGCAUAAAAGCUGUAA